AGGAUGGUUCCAGACAAAAGGGAUAAACCUGCUCAUAUUCCAGCCAAUCAGUGGAAAAUCCUUCUGUCUUUCUACCAAGCCUUUCACUUACAAAAAAAAAGAGUCUACUGACCUUCAGAUGGUGGUGCAGAUGGAACCCAUCCGGGGAUCCCGCCUGACCUUUAUCGCGGCCCAUUAAACAACCCUCUGGAGGAUGCCCUAACUGCAGAGACUUUCUUCUCACAUCCCCAGUACAACCAGAGUGGUCUUGGUCCUCUUUCCCUACCAGUGGGUAAGAUCACCUCUUCGGAGCAGGAAAUGUAACAGGAUUAGGGAAACAGGAGUUAGGAUUCUAUUAGGCAGUCUGGACAGCAACCCUAAAAUGGAGUCGGGAAGCCCCAAAUGGAGCUUACUGAGUCGCGGCCUUCCAGGAAUUUUACAAAAGCACCUGCCUCAGCCAUCCAGGACCUCCCCUGAGCAUGAUCAGGCAGGCCACUGGCUCAAGGGCGCGAGGGGCCUGCACGGCAGUCUGCGAACAUUGCAUAGAUCAGAUCCUAAAAGAUACACAGUCUCCUACAAGGGCAGAGAUCACACCGCUCACACAGUGGCCGGAGCUCCCUUCUGAGCCCCUUAAAAACCCUUAGAUGGAGCCCUGUGGGUGCCUUCUCAACCCUCUCCCUGCUGCCCAGGAGCUGCAUUUCUUUGCCUUUAUGUCUUUUGCAUUCUUGCCUUUAUGUCUCUUAAGUAAAUUUGCUUGUGCCCUUC
Cavia porcellus (domestic guinea pig) is the source of this 744-nucleotide long non-coding RNA. RefSeq lists it as uncharacterized. NCBI's taxonomy places the organism in Eukaryota, Metazoa, Chordata, Mammalia, Rodentia, Caviidae. The record is from RefSeq and is a predicted model, not a curated record. The transcript is spliced from 2 exons.